RNAcentral lists this ribosomal RNA (498 nucleotides) under uncultured bacterium. RNAcentral describes it as "partial 16S ribosomal RNA". It matches the Rfam family "Bacterial small subunit ribosomal RNA", at positions 28 to 507 of the family's 1533-position model. The record is from RNAcentral.
GACGAACGCUGGCGGCGUGCCUAAUACAUGCAAGUCGAACGAGAGCGCCCGGUGCUUGCACUGGACAAUCUAGUGGCGAACGGGUGAGUAACACGUGGGUAACCUGCUCAUCAGAGGGGGAUAACAUCCGGACACGGACGCUAAAACCGCAUAGGUCUUCGAUCCGUAUGGCUUGAGGAGGAAAAGAGGCGCAAGCUUCUGCUGACGGAUGGACCCGCGGUGCAUUAGCUAGUUGGUGAGGUAACGGCUCACCAAGGCCGUGAUGCAUAGCCGACCGGACAGGGGGAUCGGCGACAUGGGAACUGAGACACGGCCAAUACUCCUGAGAGAGGCAGCAGAAGGGAAUCUUCCGCAAUGGACGCAAGUCUGACGGAGCAACGCCGCGUGAGUGAAGAAGGUUUUCGGAUCGUAAAACUCUGUUGUUGGUGAAGAACAAGUGCUGGAGUAACUGUUAGCGACUUGACGGUAUCUAACCAGAAAGCCACGGCUAACUACGUG